RNAcentral lists this ribosomal RNA (500 nucleotides) under uncultured bacterium. RNAcentral describes it as "partial 16S ribosomal RNA". It matches the Rfam family "Bacterial small subunit ribosomal RNA", at positions 30 to 523 of the family's 1533-position model. The record is from RNAcentral.
AUUGAACGCUGGCGGAAUGCUUUAUACAUGCAAGUCGAACGGCAGCACGGGGGCAACCCUGGUGGCGAGUGGCGAACGGGUGAGUAAUAUAUCGGAACGUGCCCAGUCGUGGGGGAUAACGUAGCGAAAGUUACGCUAAUACCGCAUACGAUCUAAGGAUGAAAGCGGGGGAUCGCAAGACCUCGCGCGAUUGGAGCGGCCGAUAUCAGAUUAGGUAGUUGGUGGGGUAAAGGCUCACCAAGCCAACGAUCUGUAGCUGGUCUGAGAGGACGACCAGCCACACUGGAACUGAGACACGGUCCAGACUCCUACGGGAGGCAGCAGUGGGGAAUUUUGGACAAUGGACGCAAGUCUGAUCCAGCCAUUCCGCGUGCAGGAUGAAGGCCCUCGGGUUGUAAACUGCUUUUGUACGGAACGAAAAGGUCUCUCUUAAUACGGGGGACUCAUGACGGUACCGUAAGAAUAAGCACCGGCUAACUACGUGCCAGCCGCCGCGGUAA